RNAcentral lists this unclassified non-coding RNA (217 nucleotides) under uncultured Odontia. RNAcentral describes it as "sequence contains ITS2". The record is from RNAcentral. Lineage: Eukaryota; Fungi; Basidiomycota.
AAUUCUCAACUCUCCUCAGAUUCCAUCUGUAGGGUGAGCUUGGACUUGGAGGUUUCUGCCGGCGUUUGCCGGCUCCUCUCGAAAUCAUUAGCUUUGAGUUGAUCUUGAUGGCUUGACCGGUGUGAUAAACAUCUACGCCGAUUCAUGCUGUCCUGAGCGACGACGUCGGAGACGCUCUGGCUUAUAACCGUCUUCACCGAAGGACAACACCCUGAAC